RNAcentral lists this unclassified non-coding RNA (352 nucleotides) under soil metagenome. RNAcentral's name for it is "partial contains 5.8S ribosomal RNA, internal transcribed spacer 2, and large subunit ribosomal RNA". The stretch from base 1 to 120 matches the Rfam family "5.8S ribosomal RNA", at positions 35 to 154 of the family's 154-position model. The record is from RNAcentral.
GAUGAAGAACGUAGCGAAAUGCGAUAAGUAAUGUGAAUUGCAGAAUUCAGUGAAUCAUCGAAUCUUUGAACGCACAUUGCGCCCGCCAGUAUUUUGGCGGGCAUGCCUGUUCGAGCGUCAUUACAACCCUCAGGCCCCCGGGCCUGGCGUUGGGGAUCGGCGGAGCCCCCCGUGGGCACACGCCGUCCCCCAAAUGCAGUGGCGGUCCCGCCGCAGCUUCCAUCGCGUAGUAGCUAACACCUCGCGACUGGAGAGCGGCGCGGCCACGCCGUAAAACACCCAACUCUUCUGAAGUUGACCUCGAAUCAGGUAGGAAUACCCGCUGAACUUAAGCAUAUCAAUAAGCGGAGGA